Molecule: ribosomal RNA, 253 nt
Filed under: uncultured bacterium
Lineage: Bacteria
Description: partial 16S ribosomal RNA
Rfam family: Bacterial small subunit ribosomal RNA
Source: RNAcentral
UACAGAGGCUGCGAGCGUUAUUCGGAUUCACUGGGCGUAAAGGGUGCGCAGGCGGCCGUGUGUGUGAGGCGUGAAAGCCCGGGGCUUAACCCCGGAAUUGCACCUCAAACUACACGGCUAGAGCAUUGGAGAGGGUAGCGGAAUUCACGGUGUAGCAGUGAAAUGCGUAGAUAUCGUGAAGAACACCCGUGGCGAAGGCGGCUCUCUGGGACGGUACUGACGCUGAGACGCGAAAGCGUGGGGAGCGAACAGG